Molecule: ribosomal RNA, 202 nt
Filed under: Bryum argenteum
Lineage: Eukaryota; Viridiplantae; Streptophyta; Bryopsida; Bryales; Bryaceae
Description: partial 28S ribosomal RNA
Rfam family: Eukaryotic large subunit ribosomal RNA
Source: RNAcentral
CAGACCUCUAAUCGGAAAAGACUACCCGCCGAGUUUAAGCAUAUCACUAAGCGGAGGACAAGAAACUAACCAGGAUUUCCCUAGUAACGGCGAGCGAACCGGGAAAGAGCCCAGCUUGAAAAUCGGGGCGUUUUGCGCCCCGAAUUGUAGUCUGGAGAAGGUCCCUCUGCGACGCGCCGGACCCAAGUUCCCUGGAAAGGGA